UUCGAUCUAAAUCGAAGGGUCCAAACUCAACCCAAUUUACAUAUCACCUACACAAAACCCGUAGACAAGUUUUCCUCGUUCGCCGCCGCCACUCUCUCGUGGAUCCCAUCAAAUCCAUCCAUCCUCUCAGCAAACCACCUACUUCCUUGCUUUCAGCCGCGGGACAACCACCAGUGCCUCCACCUCGCUCCUGGACAUGUCCAACCGCCCCCAGCCUCAGUCGUCUGCGUGACCUCAUGAGCAGGAGCUCUCUCGCAGCCUUUCCGACCCGCAAGGAUUCGCCGGAGUCCGACGUCGCCGGCUCCCCACAGGCCGACCCCGACGCCCUUUCCCCUUGCUUCCUGAUUUCUUCACCUUUCGAUGCUCUCUCUCAUCUUUGUAUUUUUUUCUCUCUGUUCCAACAGCUUGGGCUGCCGCCAUGAAUGCCAUCUCAGGAGAGCCAUGGCGCCACUUAAAUCUCUAUAGCCGCCAUUGACACCCGAGAUCCACUGUUCCCGUAGCCCUGUAGUAGCCUCCGUAUGUGACCACGAGAGCCGCAGGUCCAGAUCCAUGUCCCACGCCCCAGCUUUCUCUCCGUUGCUCUCUCUUUUUUCCUCUGCUCAACUCUAUCCCCUCGUCUCUUCUACAGGUCUAGAGGAACAUCAAGUAUGGCCUCGCCGCUGACCAGCCAGAGCACUGGAUCUGCGCCACUCCACCGCCCCACAAACGGAUCCGGAGGAACCUCGCCACUGUACAUGCCCAGCCACGGUCAUGGAGAAGUUGUCUCCGUUAUUUUGUUGGUGUAGCUUUCAGAUUCGCGUUAGCAUAUUGUUUCAUGUUCAAACGUCCCCUUUGCAUCGCAAACUUAGGAUGUUUGGAUACGUUUUAGUUUCAUGAUUAAGAGGAUGCUUGAUAUGUUUUAAUACCAUGAUAAAAAGUAAUAAGACUAAAAAUUGCUAGCUUCGCCCAUGCUUGGAUUCAAGUACUAAAAAGACUAAAAUCAAAUUAAUGAGCAUUUAUUAUCCUCCAAACCCUCCAGUCUAGAACUUGCAUGAGAUGUUAAAUGAGGAGAGAGAGGACUAAUGCAUAUUUUAGUAGGGGUACCUCUGACUAAAAGAUUUUAGCCUCAAGACUAGUUUUAGCCUCUCUUUAGUCAGGGGUGCUUGGAACUUUAGCCUUUUAAAGAGACUAGUUUUACUCUUUUGGAUCCAAGCACCCUCUAAGAGUAAUGAGACUAAAACUUGCUAGCCUCACCCAUGCUUGGAUCCAAGUAUUAAAGAGACUAAAAUCAAGUUAAUAAGCAUUUAUUAUCCUUCAAACCCUCCAAUUCAGAACUUGUAUGAGGAGUUAAAUGAGCAGAGAGAGAACUAAUGUAUAUUUUAAUAGGGGUACCCCUAACUAAAAGAUUUUAGCCUCAAGACUAGUUUCAGCCUCUCUUUAAUCAGGGAUGUUUAGAACUUUAGCCUUUUAAAAAGACUAGUUUUAGUCAGACUAGUUUUAGUUUUUUGAUCCAAGCACCCUCUUAAUUGCAGUGCACUUGUUAGCGCCUCUGGGUUUUAACCAGGCGACCAAGUGUCAAAUCCCCAUUGGUGCGCUUUGAUUUUGCAUUUUCGCAUCUCCAAAGGAUCAGCUAUUGCCAUGUUUUAUCAAUGGCGGAGCCAAUUUAUUUCACAAGCACCGGACCUAGCUUUGUGCUGGUCAAAUCCCAGUGCUUGCAUUUUUUUUGUCUGUUUAGUUUAUCAUCCCUCAAUAACAGCUGGGAUCCAGAUCCCAUGUUGACCUUUCCAUACUGACUAGGGUGAUCACCCGCUAACCCCACUUGUGAUUGAUAGUGGCUAGCACAGCCGGUGUCUAUUUUUCAAUUUAAAAUUGCACAAUUUCACAAAAAUAAUUGAAACUUGCAAAUCCAUAUAAAUUGAACCGUGCAUUAUAUGAGCACAUGCUAUAUAUGAAUUUUGCUUAGUUUUAUUUGUACUUUCACAAUAUCCACCUUUCACACAUGUUAAAAAUGUUUAACAUUGUUCUUUCAGUAAAUUUGCACAAAUGCCAUGUUAAAACGUGUUGUCACAUAACUACUAACCAUAGCUCCGAUUAAUAUAUUAUACAUAUGUAACCUGACAAGAAAAAUAUGUAGAACAACAUGGUGACAUUUAUUUUGCUGUUUAACAACGUUAAAAUUGGAUUAUAGGCAUAACAGUACCGAAUCGUAAUUUGCAUGUGGGGCCUUUUCACAAUUGUUAUUCUUUGUUCUGGCCUCAUUUAAACUAGCGUAGAGUUUCAUGUAGUUUCAUAAUAUCCUGGUGCAUCCAUUUUGACAUGCUUGUGACUGUCAUUUACAUAUAUUUUGCAUUCAUGGCAUAUCAUUUCGUGUUGCUCAUAUCUUUUACACUAUAGCUCCGUUUUAAAUGAUCUAUAUAUGUAAAUCGACUAGAAUGACGUGUGGAAUAACAUGGUCCACUUUAUUUUGUUGUUUAAUAAAUAUAAAACAUGUUUAAGACAGAUCUAGACCGAUUUCGAAAUUAACACAUGGGCUCAUUUCGUAAAUGCUACAUGUUAUUUUUGACCUUAUUUAAAAUGCCUAGAUAGUGUAGUUUAUUUAUACUUCAUCACUUGCCAUGUUUAAUGACAUUUAAUAUUGUCAUGUACCUAAACGGGAGUGAACUAAGUAAUUAAAUAUGGAAUUUUGUGAAUAUGCAACUUGUUGCAUAUUGAGCUUCAUUUAAUGUGUAGGAGUUGAUUGUUGUGCUUUGCCAUGCCUUUCAUAAUUAAACCGGAUAUGCAUAAUAUGUGAUUGUGCUUCAUGUCAUGAAUAUGUGGGUGCAUUAUUGUGUGUUGAUUGUUGUUUCUGGAUUGUUUCUUCUCGAUAAAGUUCCGAACCGCUUCGAGGUGUGAGGAUUCGUUCGACUAUGUUGGUUCGUCUUCUUCACUAAUUUGUUCUUCUUUCAAGCGGGAUCAGAGGCAAGAUGGAUCAUUUCCCUAGAUACCAUUAAUAUCGGUGUCGUCCUAGUUGUCUCGUUUUCUUUCGUCAUGUCUUGCUGCCUACCACUUAAAUAUCAGCCACUCAACAUUUCCAUGAAAAGCCUCUAACCCUUUCACAUACCAGCAGACCCUUGUUUGGCUAAGUUACCGCUUGCUUAGCCUUCUUAUAGCAUUGCUAGUUGCAUGUGAAGUUCCUUACAUGUGAAAUUAUGGGUUCCUUGUUAUAUUACCGUAUAAUUGCUAUUUAAUGUAAUGCACAUAUAUACUGGGUAAAAGGUGGAAGGCUCGGUCCUCUAGCCUCGUGUUUUGUUCCAUCUUUAUCGCCCUAGUUACUUGUGUACCGGUGUAUGUUCCAUAUAUGAGCGCUCAUAACAUGCUUGGGGUUGUUAUGGGGGCCCCCUUGAUUUUUGUUUUGGGAUAAAACUCUUCCGACAAGGCCCAUUGUUGGUACUAUAUUUGCUCAACAUAAUAAUACUGAACACCGUUAGUAACACAUAUGGAGUUAGCUUUUCCCGUGGAUUAAUUCAACAUAAUACAUGGGGGCCAAUGCUAAUGGUGUUGGUCCCAAAUGGGCUGCCUACGGGUCCACCGCAAGGAAACUCAAGAAUUGGUUUUACUCGUAGCUAGUCCCACCCGAUUGUGCCCUGAGAACAAGAUACAAACUCUUAUUGGGAUCAUCGGCAUGUUGGGCGGCCUUGUUGAAUUUGUUUUACCUUUCUCGAACAUCUUGUGGGAGGAAUUCCAAGGAUACUUUAGGCUAUCUCGAGGUUGAGGUUUUCCACUAGGAAGCCGAGGAGAUUACGGGUAUUAUGUGGUCAAGGUUUCCGACGUAGUUUGUGGUAGUUUGUGAUGAACUAGUUGGAGUACCCCUGCUGGGUUAAUUCUUCCUGGGAGUCGUGCCCGUGGUUAUGUGGCAACAUGGAAACUUUGUUUAACAUCCCGUUAUAGAUAACUUGAUGUAAACUUAAUUAAAAUAUGCCAACUGUGUGCGUAACCGUGACUGUCUCUUCUCGUGAGUUCUGUAUCCGGAAGAUGACACUGUGGGGUUAUGUUUGACAUAAGUAGGUGUUCGGGAUCACUUCGAGAUCCUUAUUAGUUCACGAACGAUAUGCGUAGAUCUUUCCCCCUUUUAUUCUUGUACUCAUAAGUUAGCCAUUCAAAUAUAUGCUUAGUUGCUUCUGCAGCCUCACCACUUAACCAUACCUAACCCAUUAAGCUUUGCUAGUCCUAAUACCUUUGAAAAUGAAAUUGUUGAGUCCGUGUGGAUCAUAGAUUACUACAACAACAGUUGCAGCUACAGGUAAAGCGAUACUUUCAGGUGAGCGUGAUGAUUGUGCUAUUUCGAGUUUCUUCUUCUUAUUAUUUUUCUUCUUCAUCGAUCUAUGAUGGCUUUCAGGCCGGCAACCUGGGAUAGUAAGGAUGGACGACGUUUUUUAUAGUUUGAUUUCAUCCAUAGUCAAACCCUCCUUUUUUCUACAUGGUGAUUGAAUAUAUUUUUGUAUUGUGUUGUUCAUGUUGUAGCUUGUGGCGAGUGUAAGCCAAUUCCAUAUACUCAUCUAUUUUGUACAUGUACUUGUAACUAUAUACAUUCUUGCUAAACAACGAGAUGCACUUCUAUACCUAUCGAGGCCCUCGUGUCAAAAUAAGGAUAACAUCGCAUCAUGGGCGUUACAAGUUGGUAUUAGAGCAGUACUGGCCUAGGAGCCCCCUUGAUUGAUCGAACUUGGAUGAGUUGAAUCUAGUUAAAAUGUACUUUGAAUCUAGU
Molecule: long non-coding RNA, 4723 nt
Filed under: Hordeum vulgare
Lineage: Eukaryota; Viridiplantae; Streptophyta; Magnoliopsida; Poales; Poaceae
Description: long non-coding RNA (HVUL_LNC019299)
Source: RNAcentral